CCUACGGGAGGCUGCAGUGGGGAAUAUUGGACAAUGGGGGCAACCCUGAUCCAGCCAUGCCGCGUGUGUGAAGAAGGCCCUCGGGUUGUAAAGCACUUUCAGUGAGGAAGAACGCCUGGUGGUUAAUACCCAUCAGGAAAGACAUCACUCACAGAAGAAGCACCGGCUAACUCCGUGCCAGCAGCCGCGGUAAUACGGAGGGUGCGAGCGUUAAUCGGAAUUACUGGGCGUAAAGCGCGCGUAGGUGGCUUGAUAAGCCGGUUGUGAAAGCCCCGGGCUCAACCUGGGAACGGCAUCCGGAACUGUCAAGCUAGAGUGCAGGAGAGGAAGGUAGAAUUCCCGGUGUAGCGGUGAAAUGCGUAGAGCUCGGGAGGAAUACCAGUGGCGAAGGCGGCCUUCUGGACUGACACUGACACUGAGGUGCGAAAGCGUGGGUAGCAAACAGGAUUAGAUACCCGUGUAGUC
This 465-nucleotide ribosomal RNA is filed under the name Vreelandella stevensii. RNAcentral describes it as "partial 16S ribosomal RNA". It matches the Rfam family "Bacterial small subunit ribosomal RNA", at positions 338 to 795 of the family's 1533-position model. Lineage: Bacteria; Pseudomonadati; Pseudomonadota; Gammaproteobacteria; Oceanospirillales; Halomonadaceae. The record is from RNAcentral.